UAUAUUUAAAGUCUAUUGUUAUUAUUCAUAUUAAUUUUUUUACAAGUUUUUCGAUUUUAUAUGGGUUUAUUUUUGUAAACAGAGAGAAUAUCGAAUUUUAGGAAUAGAUAAUAAUAAUUUAUAAUUUUGAUUAGAUCUAUAUGUUAAUGCUAUAAAAUGGGUGUGGAAACUUAGAAAAAAUAAAUUAAAAAAUUUAAUAAUAAAUUACAUAUUACUUAUUAGUCAGAAAUGGAUGCCAGCCGUUGCGGUAAUUUCUAUGCUUUUGAAUAUUAUACAAAUAUCAAAAUGUAAAUUGUUAAUGUAAUACUUUAGCCAAUAAAAAAUGUAUGAUAAGUUUUAUUUGUUUUUAAACACCGUUUGGUAGACGCAAAUAUAAAAUUAUAGUAAUUAUAUAUUAUAUUAUAUUAUAUUUAUUCAAAUAACUAAAAUAGUAAAAUUUAAUGUAUUUGACACCAUGAUAAGGCUAAUAGCUUGGAAUUGUAAAUUUUAUAAUCAAAACAUAUUAUUUAUAUUAAAAAGGUAAAUUUAGAUAAAACAAUAAAUUAAAAAGGUAUUGUUGCCCACCAAUUUUUAUAAUAAAAAUAACGUGCAGUAAUUAAUAUAUUUAUAAAAAUAUAUUCCGACGAAAU
Molecule: ribosomal RNA, 629 nt
Filed under: Trypanosoma theileri
Lineage: Eukaryota; Euglenozoa; Kinetoplastea; Trypanosomatida; Trypanosomatidae
Description: Trypanosomatid mitochondrial small subunit ribosomal RNA
Rfam family: Trypanosomatid mitochondrial small subunit ribosomal RNA
Source: Rfam by way of RNAcentral